RNAcentral lists this ribosomal RNA (208 nucleotides) under uncultured bacterium. RNAcentral describes it as "partial 16S ribosomal RNA". It matches the Rfam family "Bacterial small subunit ribosomal RNA", at positions 568 to 774 of the family's 1533-position model. The record is from RNAcentral.
UGUGUAGGCGGUUCUUUAAGUUUGCUGUGAAAUCUCCCGGCUUAACCCGGGAGGGUGCGGUGAAUACUGAGGGACUAGAGUACGGGAGAGGAAAGUGGAAUUCCUGGUGUAGCGGUGAAAUGCGUAGAUAUCAGGAGGAACGCCGGUGGUGUAGACGGCUUUCUGGACCGUAACUGGCGCUGAGACACGAAAGCGUGGGUAGCAAACA